AAUUUUUUGUGUCCAAAUUUUAAAAAAAUUUUAGAGAAUAAAAAAAUCUGUACAGAAAUGUAUUAGUACUAGAUAACUUUCAAUUUAAUAAUUUACAAAGCGUUUGGCUUCAUCUUUUGAGUAUUUAUUUGGCAUAAUUUGUACCUUUACGUAAUUUUUCGUUUAUUCCAUCAUCAUUUUAAAAAUAUUUCUCGUAAUAUCAAUUUUCUUUUUCUUUUUCAUCAUUGCGUAAGAAGCCUGAGAAUACUAUCGCUACUAAAGGAAUAAAAUAUAUUUUCCAUAUAUUAGACAAAAUAUUCAGUUAAUUAAUUCGUUUAUACAUAUGUCGGUAUAAGUAUAAGCAAUUUUAUUUAGAAUUGUUAAAAUUUUGGUAUAAAAA
Molecule: unclassified non-coding RNA, 379 nt
Filed under: Bombus terrestris (buff-tailed bumblebee)
Lineage: Eukaryota; Metazoa; Arthropoda; Insecta; Hymenoptera; Apidae
Description: misc RNA ENSBTSG00005020468.1
Source: RNAcentral